This 464-nucleotide ribosomal RNA is filed under the name uncultured bacterium. RNAcentral's name for it is "partial 16S ribosomal RNA". It matches the Rfam family "Bacterial small subunit ribosomal RNA", at positions 28 to 507 of the family's 1533-position model. The record is from RNAcentral.
GACGAACGCUGGCGGCGUGCUUAACACAUGCAAGUCGAACGGAAAGGCCCUGCUUGCAGGGUACUCGAGUGGCGAACGGGUGAGUAACACGUGGGUGAUCUGCCCUGCACUUCGGGAUAAGCCUGGGAAACUGGGUCUAAUACCGGAUAGGAGCCAUUUUUAGUGUGAUGGUUGGAAAGUUUUUUCGGUGUAGGAUGAGCUCGCGGCCUAUCAGCUUGUUGGUGGUGUAAUGGCCUACCAAGGCGGCGACGGGUAGCCGGCCUGAGAGGGUGGACGGCCACAUUGGGACUGAGAUACGGCCCAGACUCCUACGGGAGGCAGCAGUGGGGAAUAUUGCACAAUGGGCGCAAGCCUGAUGCAGCGACGCCGCGUGGGGGAUGACGGCCUUCGGGUUGUAAACUCCUUUCGCUAGGGACGAAGCUUUUGUGACGGUACCUAGAUAAGAAGCACCGGCUAACUACGUG